This 429-nucleotide ribosomal RNA is filed under the name Gemmatimonadota bacterium. RNAcentral's name for it is "Gemmatimonadetes bacterium partial 16S ribosomal RNA". It matches the Rfam family "Bacterial small subunit ribosomal RNA", at positions 355 to 776 of the family's 1533-position model. The record is from RNAcentral. Lineage: Bacteria; Pseudomonadati; Gemmatimonadota.
UAGGGAAUCUUCGGCAAUGGACGAAAGUCUGACCGAGCAACGCCGCGUGAGUGAAGAAGGUUUUCGGAUCGUAAAACUCUGUUGUUAGAGAAGAACAAGGACGUUAGUAACUGAACGUCCCCUGACGGUAUCUAACCAGAAAGCCACGGCUAACUACGUGCCAGCAGCCGCGGUAAUACGUAAGUGGCAAGCGUUGUCCGGAUUUAUUGGGCGUAAAGCGAGCGCAGGCGGUUUCUUAAGUCUGAUGUGAAAGCCCCCGGCUCAACCGGGGAGGGUCAUUGGAAACUGGGAGACUUGAGUGCAGAAGAGGGGAGUGGAAUUCCAUGUGUAGCGGUGAAAUGCGUAGAUAUAUGGAGGAACACCAGUGGCGAAGGCGGCUCUCUGGUCUGUAACUGACGCUGAGGCUCGAAAGCGUGGGGAGCAAACAGG